UGUAAGGGCAGCCUGGCUGCGACACCUGUCACUCCACUGAAUGCUAGAGUUGAUUCAGCUGAUCAGGCUGGCUAGGUAGGUGUCCCUUUCCUUCCUCAUUGCCCCAUGUAUGUCCCUCCCAAAGCUGCAUGCUAUGUCACUAUGUCAAAAAGGACAAUCUUCCCAGAAUAGAGAAGCCUGGGCUUCAGUCAAGGGUAUACAAGUGGCUGCCCUUCUCCAAACAGGCUUUCAAACAGGACACUCAAGCUUAUGAGGUCCCACACUGCACAGCUAGGAGGUAAAAGAAGCAGACCCGGAAUCAGCCUGCCCUG
This 311-nucleotide small nuclear RNA is filed under the name Neotoma lepida (desert woodrat). RNAcentral's name for it is "7SK RNA". It matches the Rfam family "7SK RNA". Rfam says of the family: 7SK was discovered as an abundant small nuclear RNA in the mid-70s but a possible function has only recently been suggested. Two independent studies have found that 7SK RNA binds the CDK9/cyclin T complex (known as elongation factor P-TEFb). P-TEFb activates transcription by phosphorylating the C-terminal domain of RNA polymerase II. Lineage: Eukaryota; Metazoa; Chordata; Mammalia; Rodentia; Cricetidae. The record is from Rfam by way of RNAcentral.